RNAcentral lists this ribosomal RNA (322 nucleotides) under uncultured eukaryote. RNAcentral describes it as "partial 18S ribosomal RNA". It matches the Rfam family "Eukaryotic small subunit ribosomal RNA", at positions 1470 to 1796 of the family's 1831-position model. The record is from RNAcentral.
CCCUUAGAUGUUCUGGGCCGCACGCGUGCUACACUGAGUGGAUCAGCGGGUCAGGUUGCGCGAAAGUGUUUCCUAAUCUUGAAAUCCGCUCGUGAUGGGGAUUGACGGUUGCAAUUUUCCGUCAUGAACGAGGAAUACCUUGUAAGCGCGGGUCAUCAUCCCGCGCUGAAUACGUCCCUGCCCUUUGUACACACCGCCCGUCGCUCCUACCGAUUGAGUGGUCCGGUGGGGCUUUGGGAUCUGGGCGGAAAGAGCGUUUCGCUGUUUCUGCCCGGAAAACUCAGUCGAACCUUAUCAUUUAGAGGAAGGAGAAGUCGUAACA